GGUCACCAAUCAGUGGGAGGUGUCAAUUGACUUCUGACGCAAGUUAGAUAGGUGCAAGUGUAUGGACAAUGGUGACAACGUGUGGAACUUUCUGGAUAAAGUAUUUCUACACCGCAUCUUCUGUUACCUGAAGUGACUUUUCGGCUGCGUGGAGAGGAGAUUACUUUGCGCAGUUGAGAUUAGUUUCCGGUGAAGCAACAACUUUAGUAGCUCAGCCGCUACCAUAGCGUAUAUGCUUGCAAAAAUGUGUCAUGGUAAAAUCACGCCAAUAAGCCUUGAUGAUUCAUGAAGGGUGAGCCGAUGGUGAUAUUCUCGACUCUUGUUUGCUUUGGCGUUGAUGGAAAAGUGAUUGAAGCUGUGAACCUCGACAGGGACAAGAUCUUUUUAUUCGGGAAAAUGCUCUGGACCCUGGAAAGGACUGCACUUGAAGUGAAUCCUCCCCAGGCCUUGCUCCAGUCUUGACCGGAGACGACCGAGUGAGGAGCCGUUUAAAAUUGAUCCGUUUGCUGAGCAAUGGAAAUCCAAUCCAGUGCAGGAUUCAAUUGGUGGACUUCAUUAAUGUGAUGAAAGCUGACCCUAAAUGUUCAGUAAAGUUUAAAGACAAAAAAAAGCAUGUGUUGUUUUAGAAAUGCUGUAGCUGUAUACUUGAGUAUUCAUUUUAUUUUUAAUAAUAAAGUUGUUAAGAUCA
Molecule: long non-coding RNA, 688 nt
Organism: Eleginops maclovinus (Patagonian blennie)
Lineage: Eukaryota; Metazoa; Chordata; Actinopteri; Perciformes; Eleginopidae
Exons: 3
Source: RefSeq, a predicted model, not a curated record